UCGUUCGGAAGCUCAACAAAGAUCAUUAAACUAACGAUCGGUGGGACUUUCGUUCGAUU
Molecule: microRNA precursor, 59 nt
Filed under: Magallana gigas (Pacific oyster)
Lineage: Eukaryota; Metazoa; Mollusca; Bivalvia; Ostreida; Ostreidae
Description: Mgi-Mir-278_pre stem-loop
Source: RNAcentral